RNAcentral lists this ribosomal RNA (259 nucleotides) under uncultured bacterium. Its description in RNAcentral is "partial 16S ribosomal RNA". It matches the Rfam family "Bacterial small subunit ribosomal RNA", at positions 524 to 776 of the family's 1533-position model. The record is from RNAcentral.
UACGUAGGGUGCGAGCGUUGUCCGGAAUUAUUGGGCGUAAAGAGCUUGUAGGCGGUUUGUCGCGUCUGCUGUGAAAUCUCAAGGCUCAACCUUGAGCUUGCAGUGGGUACGGGCAGACUAGAGUGUGGUAGGGGAGACUGGAAUUCCUGGUGUAGCGGUGAAAUGACGCAGAUAUCAGGAGGAACACCAAUUGGCGAAGGCAGCUCGCUGGGACGUUACUGACGCUGGAGAACGGACGAAAGCGUGGGGAGCAAACAGG